CGGCCUGAUGGGAGCCAAGGAGGCUCUGGCCAGUAACGAUGCGGUGCUGGGGGAGGUGCUGCAGGUGCUGCAGGAGGAGCAGGUCCCGUACACGGCGCUGUUCACUGCCCGCAGGGCCCACGAGCCCCCCGGCCCCGGGGGGAUCCCGGGGGG
Non-coding RNA from Pseudopodoces humilis (Tibetan ground-tit), 153 nucleotides. The record is from RefSeq and is a predicted model, not a curated record. Lineage: Eukaryota; Metazoa; Chordata; Aves; Passeriformes; Paridae.